AUUGAACGCUGGCGGCAGGCCUAACACAUGCAAGUCGAACGGUAACAGGAAGCAGCUUGCUGCUUUGCUGACGAGUGGCGGACGGGUGAGUAAUGUCUGGGAAACUGCCUGAUGGAGGGGGAUAACUACUGGAAACGGUAGCUAAUACCGCAUAACGUCGCAAGACCAAAGAGGGGGACCUUAGGGCCUCUUGCCAUCGGAUGUGCCCAGAUGGGAUUAGCUAGUAGGUGGGGUAACGGCUCACCUAGGCGACGAUCCCUAGCUGGUCUGAGAGGAUGACCAGCCACACGGGAACUGAGCAACGGUCCAAACCCCUACGGGGGGCAGGAGGGGGGAAUAUUGCACAAUGGGCGCAAGCCUGAUGCAGCCAUGCCGGGGGUAUGAAGAAGGCCUUCGGGUUGUAAAGUACUUUCAGCGGGGGGGAAGGGAGUAAAGUUAAUACCUUUGCUCAUUGACUUUACCCGAAGAAGAAGCCCCGGCUAACCCCGU
Molecule: ribosomal RNA, 489 nt
Filed under: uncultured bacterium
Lineage: Bacteria
Description: partial 16S ribosomal RNA
Rfam family: Bacterial small subunit ribosomal RNA
Source: RNAcentral